GACGAACGCUGGCGGCGUGCCUAAUACAUGCAAGUCGAGCGGACCAAAGGGAGCUUGCUCCUGGAGGUUAGCGGCGAACGGGUGAGUAACACGUGGGUAAUCAACCCUUCAGCCUGGGAUAACGACUCGAAAGGGUCGCUAAUACCGGAUACGGCGCGAGAGGCUUCGGCUUCUCACGAGAAAGCCACGCAAGGGGCACUGAAGGACGAGCCUGCGGCCCAUCAGCUAGUUGGUGAGGUAAGAGCUCACCAAGGCUAAGACGGGUAGCUGGUCUGAGAGGAUGAUCAGCCACACUGGAACUGAGACACGGUCCAGACUCCUACGGGAGGCAGCAGUGGGGAAUAUUGCGCAAUGGGCGAAAGCCUGACGCAGCCACGCCGCGUGAGCGAUGAAGGCCUCGGUCGUAAGACUCUGUGGGAGGAGGACGAAGAAAGA
Molecule: ribosomal RNA, 435 nt
Filed under: uncultured bacterium
Lineage: Bacteria
Description: bacterial SSU rRNA
Rfam family: Bacterial small subunit ribosomal RNA
Source: RNAcentral